RNAcentral lists this ribosomal RNA (253 nucleotides) under uncultured bacterium. RNAcentral's name for it is "partial 16S ribosomal RNA". It matches the Rfam family "Bacterial small subunit ribosomal RNA", at positions 524 to 776 of the family's 1533-position model. The record is from RNAcentral.
UACGAAGGGGGCUAGCGUUGUUCGGAAUUACUGGGCGUAAAGCGUGCGCAGGCGGUUUUGUAAGUCUGUCGUGAAAGCCCCGGGCUCAACCUGGGAAUUGCGUUGGAGACUGCAAGGCUAGAAUCUGGCAGAGGGGGGUAGAAUUCCACGUGUAGCAGUGAAAUGCGUAGAGAUGUGGAGGAACACCGAUGGCGAAGGCAGCCCCCUGGGUCAAGAUUGACGCUCAUGCACGAAAGCGUGGGGAGCAAACAGG